Molecule: ribosomal RNA, 514 nt
Filed under: uncultured bacterium
Lineage: Bacteria
Description: bacterial SSU rRNA
Rfam family: Bacterial small subunit ribosomal RNA
Source: RNAcentral
GAUCAUGGCUCAGGAUGAACGCUAGCUACAGGCUUAACACAUGCAAGUCGAGGGGCAGGCGGGGUCUAGCUUGCUAGUCCUGCCGGCGACCGGCGCACGGGUGAGUAACGCGUACCCAACCUUCCCCCUAGUAGGGCAUAGCCCGUAGAAAUGCGGAUUAAUUCCCUAUGUUGUGUUUUGAGGGCAUCUGACGGACACCAAAGGUUCACCGCUAGGGGAUGGGGAUGCGUCUGAUUAGGCAGCAGGCGGGGUAACGGCCCACCUGGCCGACGAUCAGUAGGGGUUCUGAGAGGAAGGUCCCCCACAUUGGAACUGAGACACGGUCCAAACUCCUACGGGAGGCAGCAGUGAGGAAUAUUGGUCAGUGGGCGAGAACCUGAACCAGACCCAAGUAGCGUGAGGGAUGACGGCCCUACGGGUUGUAACCUCUUUUGCGGGGAAUAAAGUGUCCCACGUGUGGGAUUUUGUAUGUACCCCGAGAAUAAGGACCGGCUAAUUCCGUGCCAGCCGCAGC